RNAcentral lists this unclassified non-coding RNA (299 nucleotides) under uncultured Borrelia sp. RNAcentral describes it as "partial 5S-23S intergenic spacer". The stretch from base 94 to 299 matches the Rfam family "Bacterial large subunit ribosomal RNA", at positions 1 to 213 of the family's 2925-position model. The record is from RNAcentral. Lineage: Bacteria; Pseudomonadati; Spirochaetota; Spirochaetia; Spirochaetales; Borreliaceae.
UAAUAUAUAUAUUGACAUGGAUUAAACAAAGAUAUAUAUUAUUCUAUGUUGUAUAGAACAAAUUGGCAAAAUAGAGAUGGAAGAUAAAAAUAUGGUCAAAGUAAUAAGAGUCUAUGGUGAAUGCCUAGGAGCUUUAAGGCGAAGAAGGUCGUGGUAAGCUGCGAAAAGCUUGGGGGAGAAGCAAACAUUUAUUGAUCCCAAGAUUACCGAAUGGAGUAAUCCAGCUAGCAAGAUGCUAGCUAUCUAUUAUCUAAAUAAUAGAGGCGAUACCAGGGGAAGUGAACCAUCUAAGUACCCUG